GAUCCUCUCCUCCGUCCCCGCCUCCCCUGCCUGCGCCCCUGCCUCCGCCUCUGCCCACCCGGCCCAAUCCCUUACAACUGCCCCAGGACGGCUUCUGGGCAGCCGCUGCCAUACAGAAGGCACCGGGUUGCCCCUCUCUGCUCCAGCUAGAAAGACCUGAGUUAGACAAGCGGAAGCGGACGCCUCCCUACCUCAUGGCGACAGAAAACGGAGCAGCGGAGCUGGGAAUCCAGAGCUCACCAACAGACAAUGCACCUAAAGGUGCAGCAGGCGAAGGACCCCCAGCUACAGAGAAAGACCUUGCCCCCCCAGACCCAAAGAAAGAGCCUGGUUCCCAAGAACCAAAGGAAGAAACUGCCCCCCCAGAUCCAAAGAUGAAUCCUGCCCCCCCAGACCCAAAGAAGGAACCUGCCCCCCCAGACCCAAAGAAAGAGCCUGGUCCCCAAGACCCAAAAAAAGAACCUGACCCCCCAGACCCAAAGAAGGAACCUGCCCCCCCAGACCCAAAGAAUAAA
Molecule: long non-coding RNA, 515 nt
Organism: Myotis lucifugus (little brown bat)
Lineage: Eukaryota; Metazoa; Chordata; Mammalia; Chiroptera; Vespertilionidae
Exons: 3
Source: RefSeq, a predicted model, not a curated record